Molecule: ribosomal RNA, 415 nt
Filed under: uncultured microorganism
Description: bacterial SSU rRNA
Rfam family: Bacterial small subunit ribosomal RNA
Source: RNAcentral
GAGUUUGAUCGUGGCUCAGAUUGAACGCUGGCGGCAUGCCUUACACAUGCAAGUCGAACGGCAGCAUGAUCUAGCUUGCUAGAUUGAUGGCGAGUGGCGAACGGGUGAGUAAUACAUCGGAACGUGCCCUGUAGUGGGGGAUAACUAGUCGAAAGAUUAGCUAAUACCGCAUACGACCUGAGGGUGAAAGUGGGGGACCGCAAGGCCUCAUGCUAUAGGAGCGGCCGAUGUCUGAUUAGCUAGUUGGUGGGGUAAAGGCCCACCAAGGCGACGAUCAGUAGCUGGUCUGAGAGGACGAUCAGCCACACUGGGACUGAGACACGGCCCAGACUCCUACGGGAGGCAGCAGUGGGGAAUUUUGGGCAAUGGGCGAAAGCCUGAUCCAGCAAUGCCGCGUGUGUGAAGAAGGCCUCGG